GAUGUGGGUAAAGCUGGAGCUGAAAGGG
This 28-nucleotide non-coding RNA is filed under the name Homo sapiens (human). RNAcentral also lists the same sequence under 1 other name. The record is from RNAcentral. Lineage: Eukaryota; Metazoa; Chordata; Mammalia; Primates; Hominidae.